GAUGAACGCUGGCGGCGUGCCUAAUACAUGCAAGUCGAGCGAACGGAUAAGGAGCUUGCUCCUUUGAAGUUAGCGGCGGACGGGUGAGUAACACGUGGGUAACCUACCUAUAAGACUGGAAUAACUUCGGGAAACCGGAGCUAAUGCCGGAUAACAUUUGGAACUGCAUGGUUCUAAAGUAAAAGAUGGUUUUGCUAUCACUUAUAGAUGGACCCGCGUCGUAUUAGCUAGUUGGUAAGGUAACGGCUUACCAAGGCAACGAUACGUAGCCGACCUGAAGGGGUGAUCGGCCACACUGGAACUGAGACACGGUCCAGACUCCUACGGGAGGCAGCAGUAGGGAAUCUUCCGCAAUGGACGAAAGUCUGACGGAGCAACGCCGCGUGAGUGAUGAAGGUUUUCGGAUCGUAAAACUCUGUUAUUAGGGAAGAACAAAUGUGUAAGUAACUGUGCACAUCUUGACGGUACCUAAUCAGAAAGCCACGGCUAACUACGUGCCAGCCGCCGCCGUAA
Molecule: ribosomal RNA, 513 nt
Filed under: uncultured bacterium
Lineage: Bacteria
Description: partial 16S ribosomal RNA
Rfam family: Bacterial small subunit ribosomal RNA
Source: RNAcentral